GAGGUUUUAGCUUAACUAAAAGCAUUAUCCUGAAGAGAUAAAAAUUAGGUCACCUAAAAUCUCA
RNAcentral lists this transfer RNA (64 nucleotides) under Euphaedusa planostriata. Its description in RNAcentral is "tRNA-Phe". Lineage: Eukaryota; Metazoa; Mollusca; Gastropoda; Stylommatophora; Clausiliidae. The record is from RNAcentral.